This 1071-nucleotide long non-coding RNA is filed under the name Nothobranchius furzeri (turquoise killifish). Its description in RNAcentral is "lncRNA (ENSNFUG00015012974.1)". The record is from RNAcentral. Lineage: Eukaryota; Metazoa; Chordata; Actinopteri; Cyprinodontiformes; Nothobranchiidae.
AUGCUGCUGUUGCUCUCUGCCUGUCUUUCUGUUGUCCUUUCACUGAACAGUUAUGAUGAAGAAACAUAUGGGAACACACAUAAGAUGAGGAUAGAAAGAAAGACUCAGUCCAUUGAGUUCAUGCCCAAAUACAGCUCGAAGCAUGUGGUCCUGUGGAGACAGGAGGACCCUGAACCCAGUGAGGACAGCAGGAGGAAGAUGAUUGGCUACUACUAUCUGAUAUACAAUGUGACCCAGAGGGACAGUGGGAGCUACGUCUUGAGGGACAAAAAUGGGAUGUCUCUGUCAACAAAAACCAUCGAGGUCAUUGCUAAGACACAGGCCCUUGAGCUGAUCCCUGGUGAAAAACUCCGCUUCACUUCAGACCUGGAGUCGAACUCCUGCAACAUUUAUUUCAUCCCAGAAGGAGGUCGUGAGACGGAACUAGUUCAUCAGGGAAAACUGCUUCAGGGUUCGUCUUACUGCCCCGGGUUUGAGCUUCUAAAGCCCUGUGGGAUCUCAAACGAGGCUGUCCAGACGUCCUGCAAAGGACUGUUUGAAGUGAAGGAUCAUAACGGUGACACCUCCUUGGAGUUGUCGCUGAAAGUGGAAUCUUUGUGGUUUACCUCCUCUGCCUUCAUUCCCAUUGGAAGUGCUGUCGUCCUUUCUGUUUUGUUCUGGUGCAUGAAGAGCUGUUGCUGUGGAAACAGCUCCACAGCAAAGAACCCUUCAGAGCCUGAAGCUGCAGCUGAUGAUGAUGAUGGUGGACCUGCUGUUUAUUACCAGGAGUAUGACCACGAGCCUGUCGGAGGGAGGCCAACCCAUCCCACCAAGCCCACAGAGACUGCCUACCCGGUUCAGCCGAAUGAUGCGCCCACCAGCCUGCUGAUACACAAUCCUCCUACUAUGAAUCUACUUCCUGCUGAUUCAGAGGUUUCGGCUCCAGCAGAGCGGCUAGACCCACCAGCUGUUCCUCCAGGCUUGGACUACGAGCCUCGGUUCGAAGUGAAAGGAAUGAGCACAGAUUCCCUGCUGCACUCCGACUCUCCUCACUGUGAUGUUUACAACUCAGACAAACUCAACUUCCUCUGA